This 636-nucleotide ribosomal RNA is filed under the name uncultured Marinobacter sp. RNAcentral describes it as "bacterial SSU rRNA". It matches the Rfam family "Bacterial small subunit ribosomal RNA", at positions 870 to 1504 of the family's 1533-position model. Lineage: Bacteria; Pseudomonadati; Pseudomonadota; Gammaproteobacteria; Pseudomonadales; Marinobacteraceae. The record is from RNAcentral.
CGCCUGGGGAGUACGGCCGCAAGGUUAAAACUCAAAUGAAUUGACGGGGGCCCGCACAAGCGGUGGAGCAUGUGGUUUAAUUCGACGCAACGCGAAGAACCUUACCUGGCCUUGACAUCCAGAGAGCUUUCCAGAGAUGGAUUGGUGCCUUCGGGAACCCUGAGACAGGUGCUGCAUGGCCGUCGUCAGCUCGUGUCGUGAGAUGUUGGGUUAAGUCCCGUAACGAGCGCAACCCCUAUCCCUGGUUGCUAGCAGGUAAUGCUGAGAACUCCAGGGAGACUGCCGGUGACAAACCGGAGGAAGGUGGGGAUGACGUCAGGUCAUCAUGGCCCUUACGGCCAGGGCUACACACGUGCUACAAUGGCGCGUACAGAGGGCUGCCAACUCGCGAGAGUGAGCCAAUCCCUUAAAACGCGUCGUAGUCCGGAUCGGAGUCUGCAACUCGACUCCGUGAAGUCGGAAUCGCUAGUAAUCGCGAAUCAGAAUGUCGCGGUGAAUACGUUCCCGGGCCUUGUACACACCGCCCGUCACACCAUGGGAGUGGAUUGCACCAGAUGUAGUUAGUCUAACCUUCGGGAGGACGAUUACCACGGUGUGGUUCAUGACUGGGGUGAAGUCGUAACAAGGGUAACCGUA